RNAcentral lists this ribosomal RNA (683 nucleotides) under uncultured type II methanotroph T2-13. RNAcentral describes it as "bacterial SSU rRNA". It matches the Rfam family "Bacterial small subunit ribosomal RNA", at positions 44 to 773 of the family's 1533-position model. Lineage: Bacteria; Pseudomonadati; Pseudomonadota; Alphaproteobacteria; Hyphomicrobiales; Methylocystaceae. The record is from RNAcentral.
AGGCCUAACACAUGCAAGUCGAACGCUGUAGCAAUACAGAGUGGCAGACGGGUGAGUAACGCGUGGGAACAUGCCCUUCGGUUCGGAAUAACUCAGGGAAACUUGAGCUAAUACCGGAUACGCCCUUAGGGGGAAAGAUUUAUUGCCGAAGGAUUGGCCCGCGUCCGAUUAGCUAGUUGGUGUGGUAAUGGCGCACCAAGGCGACGAUCGGUAGCUGGUCUGAGAGGAUGAUCAGCCACACUGGGACUGAGACACGGCCCAGACUCCUACGGGAGGCAGCAGUGGGGAAUAUUGGACAAUGGGCGCAAGCCUGAUCCAGCCAUGCCGCGUGAGUGAUGAAGGCCCUAGGGUUGUAAAGCUCUUUCGCCAGGGACGAUAAUGACGGUACCUGGAUAAGAAGCCCCGGCUAACUUCGUGCCAGCAGCCGCGGUAAUACGAAGGGGGCUAGCGUUGUUCGGAAUCACUGGGCGUAAAGCGCACGUAGGCGGAUCUUUAAGUCAGGGGUGAAAUCCCGAGGCUCAACCUCGGAACUGCCUUUGAUACUGGAGGUCUCGAGUCCGGGAGAGGUGAGUGGAACUGCGAGUGUAGAGGUGAAAUUCGUAGAUAUUCGCAAGAACACCAGUGGCGAAGGCGGCUCACUGGCCCGGAACUGACGCUGAGGUGCGAAAGCGUGGGGAGCAAAC